RNAcentral lists this small RNA (987 nucleotides) under Talaromyces funiculosus. Its description in RNAcentral is "eukaryotic LSU rRNA". The stretch from base 540 to 987 matches the Rfam family "Eukaryotic large subunit ribosomal RNA", at positions 1 to 445 of the family's 3401-position model. Lineage: Eukaryota; Fungi; Ascomycota; Eurotiomycetes; Eurotiales; Trichocomaceae. The record is from RNAcentral.
AAAUCGUAACAAGGUUUCCGUAGGUGAACCUGCGGAAGGAUCAUUACCGAGUGCGGGCCCUCGUGGCCCAACCUCCCACCCUUGUCUCUCUACACCUGUUGCUUUGGCGGGCCCACUGGGGCUCCCUGGUCGCCGGGGGACGCCUGUCCCCGGGCCCGCGCCCGCCGAAGCGCUUCGUGAACCCUGAUGAAGAAGGGCUGUCUGAGUACUAUGAAAAUUGUCAAAACUUUCAACAAUGGAUCUCUUGGUUCCGGCAUCGAUGAAGAACGCAGCGAAAUGCGAUAAGUAAUGUGAAUUGCAGAAUUCCGUGAAUCAUCGAAUCUUUGAACGCACAUUGCGCCCCCUGGCAUUCCGGGAGGCAUGCCUGUCCGAGCGUCAUUUCUGCCCUCAAGCACGGCUUGUGUGUUGGGUGUGGUCCCCCCGGGGACCUGCCCGAAAGGCAGCGGCGACGUCCGUCUGGUCCUCGAGCGUAUGGGGCUCUGUCACUCGCUCGGGAGGGACCUGCGGGGGUUGGUCACCACCACAUUUUCUAUUAUGGUUGACCUCGGAUCAGGUAGGAGUUACCCGCUGAACUUAAGCAUAUCAAUAAGCGGAGGAAAAGAAACCAACCGGGAUUGCCUCAGUAACGGCGAGUGAAGCGGCAAGAGCUCAAAUUUGAAAUCUGGCCCUUUGAGGGUCCGAGUUGUAAUUUGCAGAGGAUGCUUCGGGUGCGGUCCCCAUCUAAGUGCCCUGGAACGGGCCGUCAUAGAGGGUGAGAAUCCCGUCUGGGAUGGGCGGCCGUGCCCGUGUGAAGCUCCUUCGACGAGUCGAGUUGUUUGGGAAUGCAGCUCUAAGUGGGUGGUAAAUUUCAUCUAAAGCUAAAUACUGGCCGGAGACCGAUAGCGCACAAGUAGAGUGAUCGAAAGAUGAAAAGCACUUUGAAAAGAGAGUUAAACAGCACGUGAAAUUGUUGAAAGGGAAGCGUUGUCCACCAGACUCGCCCGGGGG